Molecule: long non-coding RNA, 461 nt
Organism: Polyodon spathula (Mississippi paddlefish)
Lineage: Eukaryota; Metazoa; Chordata; Actinopteri; Acipenseriformes; Polyodontidae
Exons: 4
Source: RefSeq, a predicted model, not a curated record
CCUUGGAGUGGCUGGCUGGCAUGCUGUGUGUCUCUGUGCCCUCCACUGCUAUUGCAUAUCGGGUGAGCUGCUGGGAAGACCGGGCUGACUGUCGUAGCGAGGUUCUGAGCCAAGGUGUGGAUAUCAAGGGCCAGGCGAUCCCUAGGGGCCCUGACUGACAGCAAGCUUUGAAGUCCUGCCUUGGGCUUUGUUAUGAGACCAGGGCGCUGUGAGCUCCCCAGUGAAGCUGAGAAAUACUGUCAGGCUAGUGAACUGCUGAGAGAGACCCCCGCUCUCCCCUCCCUCCUGCCCAGCAGUGAGGCUGGACCGAGGACCCUGGCGCAGAGACAGCCAUCAAACUGUUCACCCUCUUCAGCUGGCAGGAAAGGAAAGCGAUGGAAUCAGAGGGGCCCCUGAGAGCGUGAGAGCAGUGAUCUUGAAACUGUGUCAUCGUCAGGGUUCUGUAUGCAAGGAGGGAGUGA